UACGAAGGGGGCUAGCGUUGUUCGGAUUUACUGGGCGUAAAGCGCACGUAGGCGGCUAGUUAAGUGAGGGGUGAAAUCCCAGGGCUCAACCCUGGAACUGCCUUUCAUACUGGCUAUCUAGAGUCCGGAAGAGGUGAGUGGAACUCCUAGUGUAGAGGUGGAAUUCGUAGAUAUUAGGAAGAACACCAGUGGCGAAGGCGGCUCACUGGUCCGGUACUGACGCUGAGGUGCGAAAGCGUGGGGAGCAAACAGG
Molecule: ribosomal RNA, 253 nt
Filed under: uncultured bacterium
Lineage: Bacteria
Description: partial 16S ribosomal RNA
Rfam family: Bacterial small subunit ribosomal RNA
Source: RNAcentral